This 253-nucleotide ribosomal RNA is filed under the name uncultured bacterium. RNAcentral describes it as "partial 16S ribosomal RNA". It matches the Rfam family "Bacterial small subunit ribosomal RNA", at positions 524 to 776 of the family's 1533-position model. The record is from RNAcentral.
UACGUAGGGCGCAAGCGUUGUCCGGAAUUAUUGGGCGUAAAGAGCUCGUAGGCGGACUGUCACGUCUGCUGUGAAAAGCUAGGGCUUAACCCUGGCCUUGCAGUGGAUACGGGCAGACUAGAGGUAGGUAGGGGAGAAUGGAAUUCCCGGUGUAGCGGUGAAAUGCGCAGAUAUCGGGAGGAACACCGGUGGCGAAGGCGGUUCUCUGGGCCUUACCUGACGCUGAGGAGCGAAAGCGUGGGGAGCGAACAGG